This 190-nucleotide ribosomal RNA is filed under the name Acanthamoeba sp. A11 DEA-2009. RNAcentral's name for it is "partial 18S ribosomal RNA". It matches the Rfam family "Eukaryotic small subunit ribosomal RNA", at positions 979 to 1096 of the family's 1831-position model. The record is from RNAcentral. Lineage: Eukaryota; Discosea; Longamoebia; Acanthamoebidae.
AAGAACGAAAGUUAGGGGAUCGAAGACGAUCAGAUACCGUCGUAGUCUUAACCAUAAACGAUGCCGACCAGCGAUUAGGAGACGUUGAAUACAAAACACCACCAUCAGACGGCGGAUCAUCUCCACGCAAGUGGGGGUGGCUCGUUUCUCUGGUGGCCCGGUGAAUGACUCCCCUAGCAGCUUGUGAGAA